GAAAUGGCCUUCUGUAAGGGCUAUCCACCCACCCGUAUCGAGCCUUGGACCCAUGGCGGAGUUGCUCAAAGGUUUAUGCAGCGAACAAGAUGGGUUAAGCAUAGGCAGAGAAUCUUGUAGGCCGCAGGGGUGAUCGCGCACCCUGAAGUGCUGGUACAGCUUCGAAAUUACAAUUGCGGACGCCGAGGGUUUUAACGUGCACCGAAGGCAACACGGAAGCAUUCACUAAAGGCGAGAAUGUGGAGGUCCGCCGGAGUCCACAGGCCG
Molecule: non-coding RNA, 267 nt
Organism: Candidatus Magnetomorum sp. HK-1
Lineage: Bacteria; Pseudomonadati; Thermodesulfobacteriota; Desulfobacteria; Desulfobacterales; Candidatus Magnetomoraceae
Source: Rfam